RNAcentral lists this ribosomal RNA (133 nucleotides) under uncultured bacterium. RNAcentral describes it as "partial 16S ribosomal RNA". The record is from RNAcentral.
UACCGUCAGGUCCUAAAGGUAUUAUUCCUUAGGAUUAUUCGUCCCUCUCCCACAGAGCUUUACGACCCGAAGGCCUUCAUCGCUCACGCGGCGUCGCUGCGUCAGGCUUUCGCCCAUUGCGCAAUAUUCCCCA